RNAcentral lists this ribosomal RNA (206 nucleotides) under uncultured bacterium. RNAcentral describes it as "partial 16S ribosomal RNA". It matches the Rfam family "Bacterial small subunit ribosomal RNA", at positions 568 to 774 of the family's 1533-position model. The record is from RNAcentral.
UGCGUAGGUGGUCGUUUAAGUCUGUUGUGAAAGCCCUGGGCUCAACCUGGGAACUGCAGUGGAGACUGGACGACUAGAGUGUGGUAGGGGGUAGCGGAAUUCCUGGUGUAGCAGUGAAAUGCGUAGAGAUCAGGAGGAACAUCCAUGGCGAAGGCAGCUACCUGGACCAACACUGACACUGAGGCACGAAGCGUGGGGAGCAAACA